Molecule: long non-coding RNA, 408 nt
Filed under: Solanum tuberosum (potato)
Lineage: Eukaryota; Viridiplantae; Streptophyta; Magnoliopsida; Solanales; Solanaceae
Description: long non-coding RNA (STUB_LNC003037)
Source: RNAcentral
AAGAACGACAACUACUACAUUGCGUCAACCCCAAGCUAGUUGUAGAUGAAGUGCAAAGUAAGAGAAACGUUGUCCAGCUGAGACCACCAAAAGCCCUCAAAACAAAGUUCAGAAGCAAUAACCAUGAAAAAUAUUGGUAUAUAUUCUUAUAAUCCUUCAUUUUACUGACAUCUUUCUAUACAGAAUCCACCAGUCAGAACUAGUUUCUCUCUCUGUAAAUACAUUGAAUCACAUAAAAGUUAAUUGAUAGGAGAAAAUACAGUAGCCAACCCUUGAUCUACUUUGAUAUGGAGCUUGUCGUAGGUCAUCAAUGUUUUCUGAUCACACUUGUAAGUUCCUUUACCUCUGGCAAGGACCUCACCGUCUACAUCAAUAAUCCCUUCCUUGUUUGGGUCAUCUGCUCGUGGA